Molecule: ribosomal RNA, 253 nt
Filed under: uncultured bacterium
Lineage: Bacteria
Description: partial 16S ribosomal RNA
Rfam family: Bacterial small subunit ribosomal RNA
Source: RNAcentral
UACAGAGGUCCCAAGCGUUGUUCGGAUUCACUGGGCGUAAAGGGUGCGUAGGCGGUCGGGUAAGUCUGACGUGAAAUCUUCAAGCUCAACUUGGAAACUGCGUCGGAUACUAUUCGGCUAGAGGAAUGGAGGGGAGACUGGAAUACUUGGUGUAGCAGUGAAAUGCGUAGAUAUCAAGUGGAACACCAGUGGCGAAGGCGAGUCUCUGGAAAACUCCUGACACUGAGGCACGAAAGCUAGGGGAGCAAACAGG